Small nuclear RNA from Vombatus ursinus (common wombat), 105 nucleotides. Lineage: Eukaryota; Metazoa; Chordata; Mammalia; Diprotodontia; Vombatidae. The record is from Ensembl.
GUGCUUGCUUCAGCAGCACAUAUACUAAAAUUGGAAUGAUACAGAGAUUAGCAUGGACCCUCCACAAGGAUGACAUAAAAAAUUUGUGAAGUAUUUCAUAUUUUU